CAGGAUGAACGCUGGCGGUCUGCUUAACACAUGCAAGUCGAACGCAACCUUCGGGUUGAGUGGCGGACGGGUGAGUAACGCGUGAGAAUCUGCCUUGGGGUCGGGGACAACCACUGGAAACGGUGGCUAAUACCGGAUAAGCCUUUGGGUAAAAAAUUUAUUGCCCCAAGAGGAGCUCGCGUCUGAUUAGCUAGUUGGUGAGGUAAGAGCUCACCAAGGCAGCGAUCAGUAGCUGGUCUGAGAGGACGAUCAGCCACACUGGGACUGAGACACGGCCCAGACUCCUACGGGAGGCAGCAGUGGGGAAUUUUCCGCAAUGGGCGAAAGCCUGACGGAGCAAGACCGCGUGAGGGAGGAAGGCUCUUGGGUUGUAAACCUCUUUUCUCAGGGAAGAAGCUCUGACGGUACCUGAGGAAUCAGCCUCGGCUAACUCCGUGCCAGCAGCCGCGGUAAUACGGAGGAGGCAAGCGUUAUCCGGAAUUAUUGGGCGUAAAGCGUCCGCAGGUGGCGAUUCAAGUCUGCUGUCAAAGCACGGGGCUUAACUCCGUUAAGGCAGUGGAAACUGAAUAGCUAGAGUGCCGUAGGGGUAGAGGGAAUUCCCGGUGUAGCGGUGAAAUGCGUAGAGAUCGGGAAGAACCAUCGGUGGCGAAAGCGCUCUACUGGACGGCAACUGACACUCAGGGACGAAAGCUAGGGGAGCGAAUGGGAUUAGAUACCCCAGUAGUCCUAGCUGUAAACGAUGGAUACUAGGUGUAGCUUGUAUCGACCCGAGCUGUGCCGAAGCUAACGCGUUAAGUAUCCCGCCUGGGGAGUACGCACGCAAGUGUGAAACUCAAAGGAAUUGACGGGGCCCGCACAAGCGGUGGAGUAUGUGGUUUAAUUCGAUGCAACGCGAAGAACCUUACCAGGGCUUGACAUGUCCGGAAUCCCGGUGAAAGCUGGGAGUGCCUUCGGGAGCCGGAACACAGGUGGUGCAUGGCUGUCGUCAGCUCGUCCCGUGAGAUGUUGGGUUAAGUCCCGCAACGAGCGCAACCCUCGUCUUUAGUUGCCAGCAUUAAGUUGGGCACUCUAGAGAGACUGCCGGUGACAAACCGGAGGAAGGUGGGGAUGACGUCAAGUCAGCAUGCCCCUUACGCUCUGGGCGACACACGUACUACAAUGGUCGGGACAGAGGGCA
RNAcentral lists this ribosomal RNA (1177 nucleotides) under uncultured organism. Its description in RNAcentral is "bacterial SSU rRNA". It matches the Rfam family "Bacterial small subunit ribosomal RNA", at positions 25 to 1248 of the family's 1533-position model. The record is from RNAcentral.